This 371-nucleotide ribosomal RNA is filed under the name uncultured organism. RNAcentral's name for it is "bacterial SSU rRNA". It matches the Rfam family "Bacterial small subunit ribosomal RNA", at positions 526 to 896 of the family's 1533-position model. The record is from RNAcentral.
CAGAGGGGGCAAGCGUUGUUCGGAAUUACUGGGCGUAAAGGGCGCGUAGGCGGCCUUCUAAGUCGAACGUGAAAUCCCCGGGCUCAACCCGGGAACUGCGUCCGAUACUGGAAGGCUUGAAUCCGGGAGAGGGAUGCGGAAUUCCAGGUGUAGCGGUGAAAUGCGUAGAUAUCUGGAGGAACACCGGUGGCGAAGGCGGCGUCCUGGACCGGCAUUGACGCUGAGGCGCGAAAGCCAGGGAGCAAACGGGAUUAGAUACCCCGGUAGUCCUGGCCCUAAACGAUGAAUGCUUGGUGUGGCGGGUAUCGAUCCCUGCCGUGCCGAAGCUAACGCAUUAAGCAUUCCGCCUGGGGAGUACGGUCGCAAGGCUG